RNAcentral lists this long non-coding RNA (2644 nucleotides) under Mytilus galloprovincialis (Mediterranean mussel). Lineage: Eukaryota; Metazoa; Mollusca; Bivalvia; Mytilida; Mytilidae. The record is from RNAcentral.
GGUCUCUUGUGGAGAUUCUGAGAGUUGUCUCAUUGGCAACCAUACAUCAUCUUCCUUUUUACAGGUAUUCAUUCUAAAAACAGAUGUCAGCUUUCUAAUAAAAAUUCCAGAAUAUGGUCCAUUGAAAAAUGCUGUAAUAAUUCACAAGUCUGUAAAGAUUUUGUACAAUAUUUAAUACAUUAAGUUAUAAAUAUAUUAUUUACAUUGUAAGAGAUAAACAUAAUUAAAAGCAACAACAAGAAGAUAUGGAUGUGAAUAAUCACAAGAUUUAGAAUUAUCUUAUUUUCUAAAAUGUUAUUAUUAUCUAUUUAUAUCAUGCUACUCCAGGGAUAUGAGUUUUUAUAGUCAAGUAAAAAGAGAUGAAGGAAGGCAUGAGUCUAGGUCAUGGCAAUAAACAGAUUAUCAAUGGCAUUUCAAACCCAAGGAUGUUUCUUGUCUGAUCUCAUCUCAGGGCUGUCGCCCUUCAAAGAGAUAGUAGCUUAGAAACACCUUCUUGUAUUGUCAACCAUCGAUAAUCUAUAAUUCUCUGAAUGAAGCAAGACUAUGUGACUCCAUUUUUCUUUAAAUAGGAUUUGACAACACUUGGUUUUACAUCCUGUUCUUACAAAAUUUCAUUAUCCUAUGGGUUUUCUAUAUCCUUGUACACCUUCAAACGUUUUGAGGUGAUGGACAUAAUAAUUAACAAAACAAAGAGUAUGGAGUGUUGUCAGAUUUUAUAAAGGGUGGGAAAAGAAUCUGUCUAUAUUAAAUCAAUCAAUCAGGUCAAAGCUGCUUUACUACAUAAAUGUAUUAUUUUCCAGAUUAUCUUUUUAUCAAUUGAAAAAAAAAGUCUAAUAAUGGUGACUAUAAAAACAGCAUAAUAAGAUCAUAAAUAUUUCAGAAAAUAUAAAAAUCUUUGGAGAAAAAUGAGUUUUACAUCAUUUCAUUGAAUACUGCAUGGCAUAUACUCCCAUUAGGGGUUCUUGUCCAAAAAAAUCUUGCCACAAAAAUUGAUCCAAGUUCUACUCAAAUGUUCAUAAACUUAUGAUUACUUUUUUUCACAUAGGAAUUUUUGUGAAAUGAGUUGCAGAACAAUAAAGCUAGUUCAUCAUGAGAGGCCACACAAUUAUAUCUCAAAGCUAGAUAACGAAAUCUCUGUCUGUAAACAGCUGACAAUGUACAUGUCAACCUUAUACUCAAUACAUUUGUGUACAGCUGAAGUAUUUAUUGUAAACAGAUAAAAUAUUUAAAAUGUACAGCUGAACAAUUUCUUGUAUACAGUUAAAAUAUUUGUUUUUCAAUUUUUUUCAUUUUUUUUUUACAUUUUAAACAUUCAAUUGAUGAAACUUUAUCUUUGUACACCUAUUACAUUUACUAAAAACAAAUAACUUCCAGUGUUUUUUCAUGGCUAAAACAUUUCUAUAAUUACAAUUUCUUAAAAAGCCAUUGCAAAUCAUCAUAUUUUAAAUAUAUGCCAAGGUAAGAGACAAGAGAGAAUAUUUUUUCAGUCAUGGAAAAACAAGACAUCUGUGGAUACUUCAACCUCUGUAAUUAUUAUGAAUAAUUUGUUGAUAGAUUGAUUGAUUGGUGUUUAACACCACAUUCAGCACUAUUGUGUUAUUUCAUGGCAGUCAGUGUUUAUUGGAGGAGGAAGCUGCUGGGCCUUGAGAACCACAGAUCUUCAGUAGGAAAACUGACAUUCCUAGUCAAUUAAGAUUGAAGUCUAACCAACACUGCCAAAAGCACAACUCACAACCUCUAGUGAUACAUUAGUUCGAUUACUUAGACCACCCGGCCACAAUGUAUAUUUUAGUAUGUAACAUCAACAAUAUAAAUAGCUAUAACAGGCAAAGGGACCGGUUUUUGUACACAUACAGCGGGUUUAACCCCAUCAAAUGUUGGGCUUGUACAAAUUCAGGUUAUGCAGACCCCAUGAUAUCGGUACAUCUUUUUUGGAAGAGUUGACUGCUGAUGUGGUCUGUUGUACUAAACAAUACUUCAAGCAAUUCCUGUUAUUCAUUUUGAUGUGUUAUGUUAAUAGAAUUUUUUGAUUUUCAAAGAAUAGUAUGUGAACCAUUUUCAAAAAUCUUUUAAGUGUGUAAAAAAACUUUAAAGGACAAAAUCUCUGUGAAGUAUACUAUUAAUAAUCAUCUCCAAAAAUGUUUUAAGAAGUAGUUUUAUGAAUCAUGAAUUCAAUUCUGAAGUCAAUAUUUGAAGCAAUCAGGUAAAUUUGCAGAUAGAUUAUGAGUUUUUCCUUUAGCUGCAUAGAAUUAAAAGCAUUAGUACAGAUUUAUAUAUAUAAACAACAAGAAACACCUUUGAUAUUGAUUCAUGACACAUCGCUCAUACAACAACCUUAAAUCCUGUAGAAUUACCAGUCUAAAUGUGCUGCAAUCUAUGCAUUUAAAGUUAAUUUUUACAAUGCUUUAAAAUCAUAUAAUGGAAACAACAGUAAUAAUUCCAUUCUGUACACCUCUGGUUUUAACAUAGACAGGGUUACUAUUGUGGAUGACAUUUAUUAUUGUCUAAGUUCUCUACUGAUGUCAGUGCUUACUGGUCUCAUGGGUCUAUUGACAUCAGUCCUGGCUCGUCUCCUCAGUUUGGUCCUCUAUGUUCAUAUUCUCUGUUAAUUCUAAUAUGUGUUCUACUGGCUGAGGGCGACCAU